AUUGAACGCUGGCGGCAGGCCUAACACAUGCAAGUCGAACGGUAACAGGAUGUGCUUGCACAUCGCUGACGAGUGGCGGACGGGUGAGUAAUGCUUGGGAACAUGCCUUUGUGAGGGGGAUAACAGUUGGAAACGACUGCUAAUACCGCAUAACGUCUACGGACCAAAGGGGGCUUAGGCUCUCGCGCAAAGAGUGGCCCAAGUGAGAUUAGCUAGUUGGUGAGGUAAAGGCUCACCAAGGCGACGAUCUCUAGCUGUUCUGAGAGGAAGAUCAGCCACACUGGGACUGAGGCACGGCCCAGACUCCUACGGGAGGCAGCAGUGGGGAAUAUUGCACAAUGGGGGGAACCCUGAUGCAGCCAUGCCGCGUGUGUGAAGAAGGCCUUCGGGUUGUAAAGCACUUUUCAGUUGUGAGGAAAAGUUAGUAGUUAAUACCUGCUAACCGUGACGUUAGCAACAGAAGAAG
Molecule: ribosomal RNA, 466 nt
Filed under: uncultured bacterium
Lineage: Bacteria
Description: bacterial SSU rRNA
Rfam family: Bacterial small subunit ribosomal RNA
Source: RNAcentral